GGUCUUUCAGCCGGGACAUCAGAGGAAGGCAGGGGGAGUCUUCCCAAGGGAUUUGGAUGGUGGCCCAGGCAUAUCACCUGUGUCCACUGGGAGAGAAGAAAUGUGGACGUUGGCAGGCUGAGCCCUUGGCUACCUUUCUGCCAUCCUUAGCAUGUCACCAGUAUCCUCAUGGUCACAAGAUGCAAUGCUCCUCUAUGCAUGCCCCACGGGAAGGGACAGAGGUCUGAUGAGGCCAACUGAGCCCUUUCAGGCCUAGCACCUUCCACUUAUAGCUCAGGAGCCAAAACCGCCUCAUGUGCCAAUACUGUGUGUAAUCACUGAGGAUAGGAAGGGAGGAGGGAGGACCUUGGGGUUCAGGCCUGCACCCCUAUCAGCUGUGUUCUGUCAUCUGGUUAUCUCCUCUUCCAUCACACAAAGAUCCCCACAUUAAAUAUGAAAUAACAGGGUCACGAGACUUCCUACAGACCCCAGAAGUGUUGACUGGCCUCUUAUGGCAACUGGGUGGGGAGCAAGAUGGCCGUGGUCUCUGCCACCAGGGAGCAGGUAGCGCUCUGGGAGAAAUUACAGCCUGGGGGCACAAGAAGCAUUGGGAAGCAUACAGGGGAGGUGUAAUCCCAGUUGGGAGAGGGCAGCAAGUGGGGAGUGCUUCCAGAAGAUGGAGACAUCCAAACUCAGACCUAAAGGAUGAACAGAAGCAAACCUGGGGAAGGAGAAGGGAGGGCAGCGAAUGACACAAUUAAGGAGCAGGAGGAAUUCAGCCAGAAAGCCGAGUGAGGGCUUUGGCUGGAAAGGAAUUGGGCCAGGCCACGGGAAGAGGGGUAGACAGAGAUGGAAUUGGGUGCGGGCCAGAGGAGGGCCUUGCCUGCAGGUGGUACAGUGGGGCUGGGGCUGAGGGCCAGGCAGGAGGCUACUACAGUUAGGAAGGCAACACCCAAGCUCGGGAUGCAGGGCCAGAGAUGGAGUGAAAAUUCAGACAGCCCCACAAGGAGUGGGGGGUUUUCUGCUCCCUUUGAGCAGUGAUCAUGGGCGCAGCUCCCUCAGUCCUUGGGGGUCCUUGGGUGGCUGGGUCAGAUGACAGUCAGGCCUCAACAUAGCCCCUGAGCCUAAGACCCUGUGAGACGCUCCAUUAGGAACGGAGAGGAUGGUUAUAGAGUCAGUCAGAAGGAGAAGGUGAGGCUGGAGAGGGGGCAGGAGGAAAAAAGGAAGGGAGCUUUCCCUUGUGAAAUAGGCAUGGUUUGUGCCCAGGGCUCUGAGGACAAGCGGGAACUGGUCAGGCUUUACCUAGCAGCUGAUCAGAGCCUCAUCAGGAGUCUGCCUGCUUCCAGGAUGUGUGGUCGGUGGCAGUGGUGCCCAGCAGCUCAGGGAGAGGGGCCUGGACACUGGGGCGCUGGGUGCUGAUUUGAAGGAUGUGGAGAUAUGGCCAGGAGGCUGGGCCCAGCAGUCAGAAGCCCUCAUCUAGGGAAACAAAGAGUAUCAAGUCUGGUCACCUCCUAAUGGAGCAGAAUCAGUGCGUGGGACAGGCCAGAGGUGGCUUCAGCCACCAGGCAGGGGGUGCAGCUUAAGAAGAGUCUAGCCCUCACCUAGUCCAAAAGCAGCCAUCCAGUUUCCUCCCUUUGUGGCAUCAAAAUUCUUUUCUUUGGCUUCAUAACCAUAAUUGCAAACAUAAUUCACACCAUUUCCUAAGAAAGAAAUUUGGGGGAAAAUAAAAAUUUGUUUAAACUGUCAUAAAAGGAGCUAGACAUUUACCAAUUUUUAUGAGUAACCAGAAAUUUUCACAAAGCACUUUGUGUUGAUAGGGAAGGAAAAGGCAGCAGGGAACAUGAGCAUUUACUUAGUGCCUACUGUGUGCCUUCUCUCCAUUGGUAGGCAGCAACACCCCACUUCUCCCAGCCCCCCAACCCCCAGUCCUUUGCCACUGCAAGACAGCUUGAUGGGCUCAGGCACAGCCUGAGCUGAACAUGCCCCUUACUCAGAGACAUCCUGUGCCUCACCAGCAAGGACAGGGUAAGUGGCAGACCUCACGUUGGCACCUCUGGGCUGUGGGCAAAUUCCUAACAUUCUGAGCGCAGCACCAUCUCCUAUAAAAUGGGGAUAAUAAGUCUCUUAUAGGCUCUUGACUAGGAAAAAGUAAAUGUGCCAAAGCAUUGCAGAGCCUAAGCGUGAUGCCUGACACAUAGUGAGGGCUCAGGAGAAACAGCUUAUUAAACAAGAAUGGCCCCAACUUAAUCUCUCCACCCCCGCUCCCCAUCCAUCCACACUUUUGGCUAUCAUGAAAGUAUCUAGUUGUUGGGACCUCCCUGGUGGCUCAAGGGGUUAAGACUCAACCUAUAAGCUGUCAGCAACCACUGCAGCAUGAGUUCGAUCCCUGGCCAGGGAGCUACCCACAUGGUGUAGCAGACCCCUCCUGUCUCGCCCGCUGCUUCCCUCAGCAGUGUAUUUCAGUCAGUCUGCCUGUUUUGCUUCCCACUCUGUCUCUGGUGAAUCCUCUCACUCCCCACACCUCUGGCCCGUACCCCAGUUCUUGUAUGCAUAAAUAAAUCUUUUUAAAAAAAAUCUAGUCUUUUACAAACUGCCAACUUCUUUCCACACCUCCUGUCCCUCUGCCUCUUGUUAGUCUCAGUUCAGCAGCUCUGAAAUGCCCUUACCCUGUCACACCCUCCUUUUCUUCUCAUAAGGGCCAUGGCUACCCCCCUGUCUCCUUCCAGAUGUCCUCCCGCUCACUCCCAGGAGCACCCUGGGGGCAUGGCUGCCAUCACCUCAGCCACACACACCUGUGCUGUUGAAGGAGGUUCUCCAGCAACUAGGGGCACCAGCUCCACGGUGCCCCGUGGCAGCCAGGUGUGGCUGCUUGACUGACAGUGCCAACAAUUGCCACGUGUGGAUUUCAAGCAGCACCUCAAAGGGACAAAUGUGCUCCUCUUCCAGCCACUCCUCCUCCCUGCCUGGAAAGCAGACAAAAGAGAAUGGCAACCAGAGAGCCAUGGCACCAUUAAGAACCAGCCCUGGGAGCCCCCAAUAAGGUCAACUACUUUAUGACAAGGAUGCCAAGACCAUUCACUAGAGAAAAUAGCAGUCUUUUCAACAAAUGAUGCUGGGACAACUGGAUCUCCACGUGCAAAAAAGAAUGAAGUUGGUGCGCCUCCCCUGGUGGCGCAGGUGGUUGAGUGCCACACUGUGAAACUGUCUGCAGCCUCUGCAGUGCCGGUUUGAUCCCGCCCGGCCGGCCGCGAGGAUCCCACUUGGUGUAGCAGACCUCUCCUGUCUCACCUGCUGCUCCCCUCAGCAGUGUGUUUCGUCAGUCUGUCUGUUCUCCUCCUCACUCUGUCUCUGGUGAAUCCUCUCACCCUCCCGCGAAUUUGGCCUGUA
Talpa occidentalis (Iberian mole) is the source of this 3366-nucleotide long non-coding RNA. RefSeq lists it as uncharacterized. The transcript is spliced from 3 exons. NCBI's taxonomy places the organism in Eukaryota, Metazoa, Chordata, Mammalia, Eulipotyphla, Talpidae. The record is from RefSeq and is a predicted model, not a curated record.